CCAAGGAGUCUAACAUGUGCGCGAGUCACUCGGUCUUGAUUAGGCCAGGGAGGCGCAAUGAAGGUAAACUAUAGUUUUCGCAAGAAAACUUUGUUACGAUCCUUACAAUUCAGUUGCAUAUAUGAAAGUGUGUGUGACUGUUGUUUGGCGCAGUAACGGCCUGCCAAUUUCGCCUAUUGACGAUCUGGCAGAGUUAUAGCGUACACGUUGGUACCCGAAAGAUGGUGAACUAUGCCUGGGCAAGACGAAGCCAGAGGAAACUCUGGUGGAGGUCUGUAGCGAUUCUGACGUGCAAAUCGAUCGUCCGACCUGGGUAUAGGGGCGAAAGACUAAUCGAACCAUC
RNAcentral lists this ribosomal RNA (343 nucleotides) under Schusteria littorea. RNAcentral's name for it is "eukaryotic LSU rRNA". It matches the Rfam family "Eukaryotic large subunit ribosomal RNA", at positions 666 to 944 of the family's 3401-position model. Lineage: Eukaryota; Metazoa; Arthropoda; Arachnida; Sarcoptiformes; Selenoribatidae. The record is from RNAcentral.